RNAcentral lists this transfer RNA (90 nucleotides) under Paraplanobispora takensis. RNAcentral describes it as "Planobispora takensis tRNA-Sec". Lineage: Bacteria; Bacillati; Actinomycetota; Actinomycetes; Streptosporangiales; Streptosporangiaceae. The record is from RNAcentral.
CCCGGCCUGGCCGACGCGGCCAUCGGCUUCAAGACGGUCGGCGAGGCGAUCGCGCUGCGCAACCGGGUGCUCGGCCUGCUCGACCGGGCC